RNAcentral lists this transfer RNA (72 nucleotides) under Streptomyces hygroscopicus subsp. jinggangensis TL01. RNAcentral's name for it is "tRNA-Arg". Lineage: Bacteria; Bacillati; Actinomycetota; Actinomycetes; Kitasatosporales; Streptomycetaceae. The record is from RNAcentral.
GCCGACACGAAAGAGCGGGAGUCAGUCUCACUGACUCCCGCUCUUUCUCACUCUCUCUCACUGCUCGCGACA